Colossoma macropomum (tambaqui) is the source of this 391-nucleotide long non-coding RNA. RefSeq lists it as uncharacterized. Lineage: Eukaryota; Metazoa; Chordata; Actinopteri; Characiformes; Serrasalmidae. The transcript is spliced from 2 exons. The record is from RefSeq and is a predicted model, not a curated record.
UUAUUUUAUUUUUGUUUGUUUUUGUAAGUGAUUAAGACAAUAAUUAGAACAAAACCACAGCACAGAAUAGUUUAGAUUUAAAAAAAACAUCAUAUGUCGGGGCUUUGGGCAAGGAAGAGAAUAGCUCUUGGUCCCGACAUAAUUGGUGACCCUGUAACGGGGACAGGUGACGAACCUGAAAGACCGCUGUGUUAUCGAUAGUGGACCGCCACCCCGUGACCCUGUGAAAAAAGAGACUGCCCACAAGCGCGCUAAGAGUAAAAGGAUUCUUCUUCUGCUUCUUCUUCCUCCUCUGUCCUAAAACUGAUUGUGGAGAAGACACUGUAAGGCAUCCAAACACCAUUCUGAAAUAAAGAAGAAGGCUUUUUCUCCCUUCCACAAGAACUCAGCA